UGCCAGCCGCCGCGGUAAUACGAAGGUCCCAAGCGUUGUUCGGAAUCACUGGGCGUAAAGCGAGCGUAGGCGGAUUUGUAAGUUGGAGGUGAAAUCCCAGAGCUUAACUCUGGAACUGCCUUCAAAACUACAUUUCUUGAGUUUGGUAGAGGAGAGUGGAAUUCCUAGUGUAGAGGUGAAAUUCGUAGAUAUUAGGAGGAACACCAGUGGCGAAGGCGACUCUCUGGGCCAAUACUGACGCUGAGGUUCGAGAGCAUGGGUAGCGAACAGGAUUAGAUA
This 279-nucleotide ribosomal RNA is filed under the name uncultured bacterium. RNAcentral describes it as "partial 16S ribosomal RNA". It matches the Rfam family "Bacterial small subunit ribosomal RNA", at positions 506 to 784 of the family's 1533-position model. The record is from RNAcentral.